This 141-nucleotide non-coding RNA is filed under the name Paenibacillus sp. Its description in RNAcentral is "SAM-I sequence". It matches the Rfam family "SAM riboswitch aptamer (S box leader)". Rfam says of the family: The SAM riboswitch is found upstream of a number of genes which code for proteins involved in methionine or cysteine biosynthesis in Gram-positive bacteria. The SAM riboswitch acts at the level of transcription termination control. The record is from RNAcentral. Lineage: Bacteria; Bacillati; Bacillota; Bacilli; Caryophanales; Paenibacillaceae.
AUCUUAUCGAGAGCGGCGGAGGGAUAGGCCCGAUGAAGCCCGGCAACCGAUUUGUACACAGCAUAGCCUAGCUGCUGCCUGCAAAUGUCAUGGUGCUAAUUCCUACAAUGCCGCUAGGUUUGCGGUCUUGGCAGAUGAGAC